This 252-nucleotide ribosomal RNA is filed under the name uncultured bacterium. RNAcentral describes it as "partial 16S ribosomal RNA". It matches the Rfam family "Bacterial small subunit ribosomal RNA", at positions 524 to 776 of the family's 1533-position model. The record is from RNAcentral.
UACGGGGGAGCAAGCGUUGUUCGGAUUUACUGGGCGUAAAGGGCGCGUAGGCGGCGUGACAAGUCACUUGUGAAAUCUCCGGGCUUAACUCGGAACGGUCAAGUGAUACUGUCGGACUAGAGUACAGAAGGGGCAACUGGAAUUCUCGGUGUAGCGGUGAAAUGCGUAGAUAUCGAGAGGAACACCUGCGGCGAAGGCGGGUUGCUGGGCUGAUACUGACGCUGAGGCGCGAAAGCCAGGGAGGCGAACGGG